This 258-nucleotide ribosomal RNA is filed under the name uncultured bacterium. RNAcentral's name for it is "partial 16S ribosomal RNA". It matches the Rfam family "Bacterial small subunit ribosomal RNA", at positions 524 to 776 of the family's 1533-position model. The record is from RNAcentral.
UACGUAGGGUGCGAGCGUUUGUCCGGAAUUAUUGGGCGUAAAGAGCUCGUAGGCGGUGUGUCACGUCGGCCGUGAAAACCUGCAGCUUAACUGUGGGCGUGCGGUCGAUACGGGCAUCACUGGAGUUCGGCAGGGGAGACUGGAAUUCCUGGUGUAGCGGUGAAAUGCGCAGAUAUCAGGAGGAACACCGGUGGCGAAGGCGGGGUCUCUGGGCCGAUACUGACGCUGAGGAGCGAAAAGCGUGGGGGAGCAAACAGG